Molecule: ribosomal RNA, 201 nt
Filed under: uncultured bacterium
Lineage: Bacteria
Description: partial 16S ribosomal RNA
Rfam family: Bacterial small subunit ribosomal RNA
Source: RNAcentral
UACGAAGGGGGCUAGCGUUGCUCGGAAUCACUGGGCGUAAAGCGCACGUAGGCGGCUUUCUAAGUCAGGGGUGAAAUCCUGGAGCUCAACUCCAGAACUGCCUUUGAUACUGGGGAGCUCGAGUCCGGAAGAGGUGAGUGGAACUCCGAGUGUAGAGGUGAAAUUCGUAGAUAUUCGGAAGAACACCGAGUGGCGAAGGCG